GUGGGGAAUAUUGGACAAUGGGCGAAAGCCUGAUCCAGCCAUGCCGCGUGUGUGAAGAAGGUCUUCGGAUUGUAAAGCACUUUAAGUUGGGAGGAAGGGCAGUAAGUUAAUACCUUGCUGUUUUGACGUUACCGACAGAAUAAGCACCGGCUAACUUCGUGCCAGCAGCCGCGGUAAUACGAAGGGUGCAAGCGUUAAUCGGAAUUACUGGGCGUAAAGCGCGCGUAGGUGGUUGUGUAAGUUGGAGGUGAAAUCCCCGGGCUCAACCUGGGAACUGCCUCCAAAACUGCAUGACUAGAGUACGGUAGAGGGUAGUGGAAUUUCCUGUGUAUCGGUGAAAUGCGUAGAUAUAGGAAGGAACACCAGUGGCGAAGGCGACUACCUGGACUGAUACUGACACUGAGGUGCGAAAGCGUGGGGAGCAAACAGGAUUAGAUACCCUAGUAGUCC
This 450-nucleotide ribosomal RNA is filed under the name uncultured bacterium. RNAcentral's name for it is "bacterial SSU rRNA". It matches the Rfam family "Bacterial small subunit ribosomal RNA", at positions 354 to 796 of the family's 1533-position model. The record is from RNAcentral.